RNAcentral lists this ribosomal RNA (497 nucleotides) under uncultured bacterium. RNAcentral's name for it is "partial 16S ribosomal RNA". It matches the Rfam family "Bacterial small subunit ribosomal RNA", at positions 28 to 507 of the family's 1533-position model. The record is from RNAcentral.
GAUGAACGCUGGCGGCGUGCCUAAUACAUGCAAGUCGAGCGAACGGACGCGGAGCUUGCUUUUCUGAUGUUAGCGGCAGACGGGUGAGUAACGCGUGGAUAACCUACCUAUAAGACUGAGAUCACUUCGGGAAACCGGAUCUAAUCCCGGAUAAUCUUUUGAACCGCAUGGUUCAAAAGUGAAAGACGGUCUUGCUGUCUCUUCUCGAUGCUUCCGCGCUGCAUUAGCUAGUUGGUAAGGUAAAGGCUUACCAAGGCAACGAUGCAUAGCCGACCUGAGAGAGUGAUCGGCGACACUGGAGCUGAGACACGGUCCAGACUCCUACGGGAGGCAGCAGUAGGGAAUCUUCCGCAAUGGGCGAAAGCCUGACGGAGCAACGCGGCGUGAGUGAUGAAGGUCUUCGGAUCGUAAAACUCUGUUAUUAGGGAAGAACAUAUGUGGAAGUAACUGUGCACAGCUUGACGGUACCUAAUCAGAAAGCAACGGCUAACUACGUG